UACCACGGAACAUGCUCUUCAACAUAGGAAGAAGUCAUCAACGGUGUUCUAUCAACAACACAAGCUCCAUUCACCUACAAGAACAGAAUGGAAUAUCAAGUACUUGGAUCGUUCAAGCAGAUUACAACCAACAUAUAUAUAUAUGUAGAAGUACAUCAGGAAAUAUGAUGGAGCAAUCGGACAACAAAUACAUUAAGUAAACAGCCCAACCGAUGAGUGAUGACGACAAGCAAAGAGUAUAAACCCAGGUUUGGACAUAAAUAGUGUCAACUCAAGCAGAACAUAAUAAGGCAGUAAACUCAAGCAGAACAUAAUUAAGCACGAUGAAAGGGACCAUCCAAUUAAAUUCCAUUCCCAUCUUCUUCAGUAAGGACAGGCAAAACAUCCCAGCAUAUCUCAAGUCGAUGAAUUAUUCUAGCAAUAACCAAAUUAGAAACAUCCCUUGUUGUUCCAUUUAACCAUACUACAAGACUGUAGAAGAAUCACCCUUGGUGAAUCAAAUCAUAGCAAAUCGAGCAACAGAUACAAGAGGCACAUCAGGCCUAGCCAUUUUUGUUUCAGUAAUUUAGAAAGAGGGGCGAUGGGGCACGGAACCUUGAGGCCCUGUUACGGGGUUGUGUUUGAUGAAGGUUGCCCUUUGGGGCGGCAGCUGCAGCUCCGCCAGAUGCAGCAGCAGCUCCUCCUACCGGCACGACGGCGGUGACAGCACAAAUGGUCACCUAUGUGACAUUUCAGAUCAUCAUUACAGAAUUUAAUUUAUUUAUUCAAGACGCAAGCAGCAAAGAUAGUGUCCACCUUCGCAUAUAGAACCGAGCAUAGAUUUACAGCACAUCAAUGAUUCAAGUAGUUCAAGACUUAAUUACUUUUUCAACAUCAGGGUAAGAGAUAUGGAACAAAAAUGCACAAAUGGUGCCUAUUGAGUGAGAGCAAGAAUAAUAAAGGGGCACAGCUGUGUGAAACUGUUAUCAGCAUUGUUUCAAAGUUUACUGUGGCAUAUUUUUCAUGAUCAGUAUGACUUCUUAUAAAUAAUAACCAAUAGUACUGCCGCCAGAUCCUUACACAUGUAUAAUGGCAUGAAUAGAGCAAUAGAGCAAUGCCCAAUCCUUACACAUGUAUAAUGGCGUGAAUAUGCAAGUUAGACCUAGAUGUUACUAACAAGUGUUAUUUGCAUAAUUAAUGAAUAAGUGUGGUAUUUCUGACUAGCCAGAAUCAAUCUUUGUGCAUACAUCUGGCCAUGUUGUUCCUUGCCAAAUAAGCUCCCAAAAGUAGUAUUAAUAAAAUUGAAACAGAAUAACAUUUACAGGACUACAUGAACCACAACAAGAAAUUUUCUGUUGCGAGUAAGCUACUUGCCUUUGUCCAUUUGCUCCCACCAAGUCAAUCUAUUAUACAUCCCUUGAUCAUCAGCGAAUGGAGUUCCCUUCUUCCAGUGGAAGAAGUUGUAUGUAAUCUGAAAUGAAGAUUCAGUUAGGAAAGCAAUGACAAUAGAGAAAUAAUUUCUAGAUAGUAUGUUUCAAGCUAUAAUCUUAUGAGAAAAAUAGCAAUAAUUUGUACUUCCAGAAUUGAGGUUGGGCCAACUAGAACUACAGUAUUUACUGCCAGAAUGAUUUCAUGAAUUUUGCCACUACAUGAUUAUAUUUAAAGUAGCAAAAGAAUUAUUAAAUGCAGGCUAUUUAUUUGGCUAUUAUGAAACAGUAAACCUUCAAACUAGAAUACACUUUAUUAGUUGGCAGGAUUGGCGAAUGUGUCGUAGCAAUCUAAGAAACAGAAGUGCAUUUCUAUGUGGUAAAAUGAUGUGCCUAGUUGCUGAAAAAUGAUGUCUAUUUAUGUUGACAGAAUGCUUUUUAGGAGUUGGCAUCCAGUUCCUAUUGAGCUAUACAAGGAGGCUAGAAUUGAGCAUUGUCGUGCAACUAGGGACUUGAGUAGCUACGGCUGCUAUGUGCAACAUGUGCUCAUCAACAACAAAAAUUCCCACACUCAUCAAUUAGUAGAAAUGAAACUGAUAGUAGUAUAGUAGGUGUGGUCUGGUCCUAGCAGCAAAAAAACUUGUCACUUAUGCAUCAGAGAGAGGGGGACUACCAAAUUGAGUUGCUCUUUCAUCCAUGGUGGCGUCCCUGCAUCCAUGUAGCUGCUGCUGCUGCUGACCUUGAAGAUGCAGCUCGUCGUUCUGCUGUUGUACCAAACGAACCUUGUCGCUGCUGCACGCAUAAUAACAAAUAAGAAGUGGUUUGUCAGAUCAAACCAGAACCUUCCAUGAGAGAGAGAGAGAGGGAGAGGGAGGGAGGGAGAUUUCAAACCUUCCAUGGGCAGUAGCUAGGAGGAGUAGGCAGAGCAGAGGAGGGAGCAGCAUCUAGGAGGAGGAGGCAGAGCAAAGGAGGGAGCAGCAGCAGCACCAGAGCAACCUGCACACACAAAACAAACAAACAAACGCAGGAAUCAGAAGUGAGGAGAAGAAGAAAUGGCCGACUGCCGACUGCUGGAAUUGCCGGAGAUGGCCGGCUGUCGACUCGCGUUUGCCAUGGACGUCUCCGCCACCGUGCCCUCAUCGCCCCGUCCCCAUCCAUCCAUUGGUGGGUGGGUGAAGGUCUACAGUGUCGGGCCUCAUCCGCCCAUGGGUCGGACGGACCUGAGGGAGGGAGAGCUAGGGAGCGAGGGAGGGAUGUCGCGGUGGUGAUGGGGUUGGGGGAGACGGUCACCGGUGGGGUUGGGGGUGGGUGUCGGCACCNNNNNNNNNNNNNNNNNNNNNNNNNNNNNNNNNNNNNNNNNNNNNNNNNNNNNNNNNNNNNNNNNNNNNNNNNNNNNNNNNNNNNNNNNNNNNNNNNNNNNNNNNNNNNNNNNNNNNNNNNNNNNNNNNNNNNNNNNNNNNNNNNNNNNNNNNNNNNNNNNNNNNNNNNNNNNNNNNNNNNNNNNNNNNNNNNNNNNNNNNNNNNNNNNNNNNNNNNNNNNNNNNNNNNNNNNNNAAUGAGGAGGAGCCACCGCGGGGGAAGCGUGCGCGAGCAGGAGAGGAUGAGGGGGGAGAGUGAGGCUGGCGGCGAGAUUGGAUCUGGGGAGGGGAUAGGGUUUGGGUGGUUAGAGGGGAUGAGGGGGGAGAAGGGGGCGGCGACGAUGGAUCCGGGGAGGGGAUAGGGUUUGGGUGGUUGGGCUGCCCGGGGGUGGGGUUCUUUUUCUUUCUUUCUAUUUUUUUCUUUAGAUAAAUGCGAUGGAUGGAUGGAUGCCAUGUCGUCGAUCCAUGGCACAAACAUUUCAACCAAUAAGAACAAAGCUUAUGUAAUUGUAUGAACAGCCUUCCAUGAAUGCAGCUUCCUCUUCAUGUCAGAAAAAAAGGAAAAUGGAUCUAGCUUCUGUUAGUUUGCCAUCUUCUCCUCGAGAAUAUAAUGACUAAAUUUGUCAUGUCACCAUUUACAAAUUCAGAAAAAUGUUCAUGUUUUUUUAGAGAACGAACUCGUUAAUUUGUAGUUUUUUCAAUCAUGGCAACCCCCUAUGCACAUUGUAUAUCCUUUUUGCCAUGUUAUUCUAGAAAACAUGGCAAUUUUCUUAGCUUGUUUUUACUUUGUACAUGGCAAAAAUAAAGCAGAAUAAGUUUUUUGUGAAAACAUGGCAAUUUCUGUUAAGCAACAUGGAAAUUCUUGUUAAAACCACAUGGCAAGUCAUAAGGAAUUUUUUAUUAAGUAAAAUCAAAUGGCAAAAUUAGUUGUUCCAUGGCAAUUUUCUUUUUUCUUUUUCAUGAUGGCAAAUUUAAUUUUUGUACCAUGGCUUCUUCUCUAUCUUCUUUUCAUGAUGGCAAGUUUAUUUUAGUACCAUGGAAAAAUGUAUUAUUCAUUCGCGGAAAUUUCCAUGUUCGUAGAACAUGGCAAAUUGUACUAUUCUGUCAUGGCAAAUUAUACUAUUCGAUCAUGGCAAUUUUCAACCCGCAUUUUACCAUGGUUAUUUUCAGUCUGUAGGCCUAAAGAACAUGGCAACUUUCCUUUUUGUAGCAUGGUUAAUUUAUUUUUUAUUACCAUGGCAAAUUUCAUUUUGCAUUUGCUAUUGCAAAUUUUUCUUUUUCUUACCCAUGGGAAAUUUACCUUUACUGCCAUGGCAAAAUUACAUAUCUUGCCAUGGCAAUUUUUUUAUUUUUUUAUUUUGCCAUGGCAAUAUUUCCUUUUGCUUUGUCAUGGCAAAUUUUGGAUUCAUUGACAUGGCAAUUUUCACCUUUUGUUUCGCACGACAAUAUUUUCAUUCAUUGAGAUGGAAAAUUUACAUUUAUUGUUACGGCAAAUUUACUUCAACAUACAUGGCAACAUUUUGCUUUUUGGUUUUGCCAUGGCAAUAUUUUUCAUUAAUUGACAUGGCAAACUUGCAUUUAUUGCCAUGGCAAUUUUAUUUUAACAUACAUGGCAAAAUUUCCCCCUUUAGUUUUGCCAUGGCAAUUUUCCCUUUUGUUCCCCUGGGCAAAUUCAUGUCUACUGUCAAGGCAAAAGUACUUCAACAUACAUGGCAAACUUUAACUCUUUGUUUUGCUUUUACAUGGCAAUUUCUUUUCUUUUUCUUGACUUUCCAUGUUGGCGAAAUUAUAUUUUCUACCAUGGCAAUUUUAUUUUCUGUAUCACGGAAAAUUUCAUUUUUUUCCUUUUCUGUUAUUUUUUUUAGCAUGAUGGCAUUUUUAUUUUACCACCAUGGCAAUUUUAUUUUUUGUAACGUGGCAAAUUAUUCUGUUGGACCAUGGCAAUUUUUUUCUUUUUCUUUACUUUUCAUGAUGGCAACUUUAUUUAGCUACGUCGCAAAGUUUUUCUUGUAACAUGGACGAUAAAAAUUGUCUACCAUGGCAAGCUCAUUUAUGUGCAUACAUCCUCCCUUUUUCAAUUUUUCGAUAAAUUUCUUUUUAAGUAAAUUAUUUUUGAAAUAAAACAUGGUGAUUUUUUCUCUAAUAACAAUAAAAAUUAUGUUUUCGUCUUUUUUACUACGAUGGCGAUUUUAUUUGAUUACCAUGGCAGUUUUAUUUUUUAUGUAUUAUACCAUUGGACCAUGGAAAAUUAUUUUUCUUCUUAUUGUUCAUGAUGGCAACUUUAUUAAAUAAUCCUUUUCGGGAUGACCCGUCAUGAUGAAGCCCAGAGCGAAUGUCAAUUGGUUAAUGAGAAGAAAAACAAAUUUGGGCUUUCAUUUGUCUCAGAAAAAAAAACUAGUUUUGUUCGCGCCGGAACUAAUUUUAUUUCCCACGACAAUAUUCGAACGACAAUAUUUUCCCUCGUACCGAACUUCAGUUCGGACCGCUCGCGUCCCGGCCCGAACGUUCAGCAUAUAUCGAGGUCCUUUAUUAUACAUUUAAAUUCUUUUUUUCUAUUUUUGAGCAUCAGUACAGACACAAGCGCUCAUAUACACGCGCAUACACUCACCCCUAUGAACGCACUCACGCACACCCUACCCUCCGAGAGACUGAGCCGGCAUACCAUCUUGAGAAUUACGAAGUCACCGUAGGCGCUUCGUCGUCGACGAGAACGUCUCCUCCAAUUGAAAGCACAUCGCCGGAAAUCCUGAAAUAAAUUCAGAAAUAAUGCGAGCACCAGGAUUUGAACCCUGAUAGGUUGGGGAUACCACUGUCCACCUAACCAUCUCAACCACAGGUUGGUUCGCAUUAUACAUUCAAAUUCAUUUAAUGUGGUGUAACUACUAAAAGAGUUUCACUUUGAUGCAUGAGCAACAAAUGGAGACGUUUGAAACCAUAAACACAAAUUUAUAGCGCCAGCAUCUAAUUACUCCUUAUACUCUUGUUAUAUAUAGUUCGAGUCGGACAGAGAAACAAAUCAGACGACCAUGGCCCCUCUCCAAGCUCUCUCCUCCGUCCUCGUCCUCCUGCUCCUCACACAGCACGCGCGCACGGCGAGGGCGAGCACGCUGGAGGACACGUGCAGGCUCGUCGGCACCGGCGGGGCGCAGGACUACGACUUCUGCGUGAAGACGCUGGGGGCGGACCCGGCGAGCGCGAUGGCCGACGAGCUCGGCCUGGUGGUCAUCGCGGUGAAGAUCGCCAUGGCGACCGCCAAGGCCACCGGCGACCGCAUCGCCCGGCUGCAGGCCUCCGAGACGUCGCCCCGGCGGCGGCUGGUCCUGGACGAGUGCGCCAACGACUACGCCUUGACAGUGCGCUGGCUGGGGCGCGCCUCCAUGGACUUGGCCGCGGGCGGGGACGAGGACCGGCUGACGGAGGCGGCCACCCUGCUGGAGCACGUUCGUGGCACGCCGGCGCGCUGCGACAAGGCGUUCGUCCUCUGGGCCGGCGAGAGGACGCCGCUGACCGACGCGGACCACGAGCUCAACGGGGUGACCGUGCUGGCGUUGAAAAUCUUGCGCCAUUGCUUAAAUGACGGGGUAAAAUGAGCAAGUAGCACGAGGCCUUCUUCUACCUCCGGAAGAAAAUGAUCAUCUUUUCCGGCAGUGAAAUAUGUGAUGUGCAACAAUAAAAUGAGUAAUAAUAAUAACUUGCAAAAUUUCCAAUGGAGAUUGUAGAACAUUGUGGUCUUAUCAGUAUUUAUUUAUUUCAAAAAUGACGCUGAAGAUUUUCUCUGAUUCACAAGAGUUCAUUCAGAUCAGGCGAGGAAGGUUACCAUUCGAUUUUCACUGACAAUUAGGUUUUUGAUUGAGGGUUCUGUGAUUCUCCAGCUACAUGUCUUGGGUACGUGGUACCUUUCUCUGACUCUUCUUUUCAUUAUGUAACCUCUCUGGCCUUUACAAAAAAGACGUUCUCAUAACUAAAUGUCUUUCUUGUGAUUCUGAUAGGCCCACCUACGACACAUGCAUGUACACCAUGUUUCUCUACUGUAAUUUAAUGUUAUAUUUAGAUGUUACAAAAAAAUUAUUUACAUGUUACACAAAAGAGUUCAGGGUUCACUUAGAGGAAUAAUUGCUUUGCAGGUAUACAUUUACUGAAAGGGACUGAUGUGCUGAACUUUCGAGAAUUCCGAUUGGUCGUUAAUAUAACCUUUUCUCCUUUUGUUGAAAUGUCCGAAGGAAUUUCCCUUAUUUUAGGUUUUCAACUUGAGGAGUUUCGUGCUUUUUGAGUGGAGCCAUCCACAUAUAUAAUAUGAUUCUCAAAAAUUCAUUAUGAGGUAAAAUCAUUAUAUACAUAUUGUUUCCUGUAUUUUUUGUGUGAGUAGGGCCAGCUUAUUGCAUGAUUAAUAAGACAUUUUUGUGUAGUUCACCGUUUAUUUUAUUAUGUCUGUAUAAACAAGAUUUUUUGGUUAUUUGGCCUCACAAAUGUUCUUUCUUGAACAGCAACCAGCAGAGAACAAGAACAACAAUAGUGAUGAGAAAGGAAGGAGCCGAGUAUGCCACACACUGAUACGAUGGUUUCCCCUGUGUUCUCUAUAUAUGGUAAUCCACUUCUUCACUGACUCAAAUUGUUUACUGGUGAGCUAACAAGAUGGUUUUGUGUCUUCCCUCUUUCUUUGUAAGUGAAUGACUUCAGGUUCUUGGGCAUUAUUCAACUGCCAUACUUGUGGGAAAUAAAUGUACUAAACUUGUGAGAUGGAUUGAUUAAUGGGCAGUGGAAUGGGAUUAGGGCUCGCAAUUUACAAACAAUGAGUUGCAACUAUAAAGAAUGGAUUGAUUAAUGGGCAGCAGAAUGGGAUUAGGGCUCUGCAUAGUUAUGAGUUGCAACUACAAAGAAUGGAUUGAUUAAUGGGUAGUACAAUGGGAUUAGGGAUCUGCACAGUUAUGAGUUGCAACUACAAAGAAUGGAUUGAUUAAUGGGUAGUGAAAUGGGAUUAGGGAUCGCAAUUUACAAACAACUCAAAAACGGUAAAAGUAACAAAAAUAUGAGUCGCACUUGGGUACGUGGUUGAAAAGAAAAUGAAACAUUGAAAUGCUUCUGCCUCCCAAAGAGGCGUACCAGCAUUUUCAUCGAAGGGAAAAUGUUUCAGAAUCUGGGGGUUUCAUCACCUGCUACUGUAACUGUUGUGUGUAAACAUGAGAGGUGCGCCUCUCAUUACAUUCCAUAUUUGCUUGAAUGCAAAUGUUUUAACUAUUAUGUGUAUAUAAAUGAGAGACGCAUUACCUCCAUAUUUGUUGGCAGGUCAAUGUUUUUAGAUAGGGUGCUAUUCAAUUCUAAUUGAUUUGCUCCAGGUAAACCCACGGGUCCUCGUCCUAGGGUUUCCGCCGCCGCCAUGGGCGACUCCCUUGCUUCCGCCCUAGUCUAAGCCGUUUCUCACCAUGAGUCUACGUGGUAGUUCGUCCUCCGGAUUACGGAGGGAGUCUAAGCCGUCUACGUUUCGUCUCGGAAGGAAGGAGCACCCGUCUGGGGCCGUGACCGGCAAGGGAACUGUGGCGGGCGGGACUCUCAUAAGUCCUCCAGUCCGCCGCAAUCUUCCUGGCAAGAUUGCGCCUUUCAAUAACCCGCUCUUCGACCCUAAAGCUACGUCUGCAGCAACCGCGCGCUCUCCAUCGAUGUCGUCCGCUGGCGAUGGGGGUGAAAAAGGGGGGGCCGAUGAGGCCCCUACCCACCCGAAGUCGUUCGGUGGCGAUGCGAUGGUGCCCGCGCGGGGUUCCGGAGGUCAGAUCGAGCCGGCGGAAGAGUUUGAUCACACCAGCAACUGGGAUGAGAGGGAAAGUGUGGGGCUGGAUGGUCCGGAGGUCAGUAUUGGCGGCGAGGUGAACCUAGAUGAUGAUGUUGUUGUGGAAGAGGAACCUGCAGUGGAGCCGGUGGCGGCGCCGCCGCGAUGGAGAUUGCUAGGCCGUUACGUCAGCAUCGGGCGCCCAAACGUCGACGACAUGACGGAACACUUCAGCGAGGUCUGGAAGGUACGAACAAGCCUCAAUAUUGCAAGGAUUAAGAACAAUUGGUAUGCGGUGACCUUCUUCUCCGAGGGAUAUUACAACUUUGUAGCAAGAGGAGGAUCUUGGAUUUUCAAGGGAAACACACUCAUUGUUGGCCCGUUCAAGGAAGGAGAGCAGCCUUCUGAGGCUGUACUGAAUUCAGUCCCGAUCUGGGUCCGUGUAUACAAUGUUCCGUGGGGAAAGCAGACUAUUGCGUAUGACGAAUUUCUUGCAGGCUUGUUGGGUACCGUCAUGGAGGUGGAUGCUGAGGCUGAUGGGAGCAGGGUUCGCGAGUUCUUGCGUAUACGUGUGGACCUGCCACUUGGCCGCCGGCUCCAGACCAAAAUUACCAUCGGCAAGGACCCGGCGAAACAAGUUAUCUACCCACUCCGUUACAAGAGGGUGCCCCACUACUGCUUCUGGUGUGGAUUCAUAGGCCACGAUGGCAACCAGUGCGAGAAGAAAAGGUUGGGUGUUCCGACCCGAGCAUAUGAUGAAGGGUUGAGGUGCUCUCCGUACAGAAAGUUUGAGAAUAGAUCAGGCGUUUGUGGCACCUGGAACCCAGCCUGCAGCAAGACGGGGGCUGAACUUUGCUAGUAAUGCUCCCUCUGAGGUUCUUGGAAAGCCAAGAGAGAGGCGUAGAGGGAAGGGAAGUCAAGAGCAGCAGCAAACACCAGAGAUACCAGUACGGGUUGAUGCUCACGACGGUUUUGGCGAACACAGCAGCUCUGACGGACACAACAUGGACACGGACAUUUCUGAUCGUGUUUUAGCUAUGCGUGUACACUUGGCUAGGCAGAGAGCUGAGGCCAGCAGAGUCCGUACGGUGCGGGCAUCAUCUGAACCUCCAGAGUUUGUCUUCCUUGGAGGUAGAAUACCUGCGCCCCUGCCACUUUCAGUACGCCCACCUAGGAGUGAGCCGAGCCACAGCAGCAACCUUGGGAGCAAGGAUAUGAUCCCGGCCAUGCGUAACCUUCACGACACCUCAGAUUUUUCAUCUGCUGAAUCCGAUCAAUACAUGCAAGAGGCUGAUUCUGUUCUGGGGAAGAAAUUUUCACGUGGGCAAGCGUCCGACGACCUGAAUCCCAACCAGGGAGCUAUGGUGGUGCAUGCAAAGAGGGGCGUUGUCAACAAGCAGAAACGAGGGAAGACUCAACAGAGUGGCAAAGGCAAGAACCAAGAUGAGGAGAAGAUGGACUCGGACAGCAUGGAUGGAGUGGAGGCAACCGGCCUUGGGGCCGCCGGUAAACUGACGGGGUCGGGUGCGCCGCCCCGUCAGGAGCAAUGAAUUGGCUAAGUUGGAACUGCCGGGGGGCGGGGAAUCCCUCGACAGUUCAUGAUCUCGCGUCUCUUGUUAUGACGCAAUCCCCAAGUCUUGUUUUCUUGUGUGAGACUAGGCAAAAUAAAAAUAAGAUGUAUCAUUUGCGUAAUAGGUUAGGGCUUUCUGGUUCUGAAGGAGUCAGUAGUAAUGGUCGUAGUGGCAGCCUAGCACUAUUUUGGCAUGAGUCUAUGUAUGUCGAUGUGCAAGAAGCUAUUGAAAGAUUGAUUGACGUGUAUUUGCGUGUCUCCCCGGACAAGCCAUUAUGGAGAGCUACAUUUGUUUAUGGCGAACCGAGAGUAGAAAAUAGACACAUGAUGUGGGAUAAGCUCAAAGGUCUGCAUGCUCAGAGCGCUCUGCCAUGGGUGAUUAUCGGUGACUUCAAUGAGGGUAUGUGGGAUUUUGAGCAUCAAUCGGAAACUCCGAGACCUGCUGGUCAAAUGAUUAAUUUUCAGGAUGCACUUGAAGCUUGUGGACUCACUGAUCUUGGUUUUUCAGGGCACCCCUUCGCAUAUGAUAAUAGGCGGAGUGGCCGGGCGAACGUCCAAGUUUGGCUGGAUAGAGCGGUGGCGUCCAAUGACUGGAGAGACAUGUUUAUGCAAGCUUCGGUGGCAAACCUUGUAUCGCCAGCGUCGGACCAUAGUCCACUGCUCCUCAAGUUCUCGCUGGAACAGGACAGGUGGCCUCACAGCAGCCGCCGGUACGAGUUGAUGUGGGAGAGAUCGCCGGCGUUAGAGGCCAUUAUCGCAAACUCUUGGUCAAGCAAAGGUACGAAGAGGAACCUGGGAGAUGUACGGGAGGCCCUUGCUACUGUUAUGGCUGAUCUACACACUUGGAGUAAUAAAACUUUUGGCAAUGUUACACGGGAGCUUGAAAAGUCACGUACUAGGCUUGAGGAACUAACCAAUAUGAAUGCAGACCGAGCUUAAAUAAGAUUGGAGAUGGACAAGAUGAAUGAGCUGUUAUACAGGGAGGAAAUGUUGUGGCUCCAGAGAUCUCGGAUUGUUUGUCUAAAGGAAGGGGAUCGUAACACCAAGAUGUUCCACAGGAAGGCAGUUUGGCGAGCGAGAAAGAAUAAAAUCCGAGGGCUGGAGGAUGAGGCGGGUGUUAUUCACACCGAUUAGGCCAACAUGCUACAGAUGGUAAAAUGUUAUUUUCAUAAUUUAUUCACAGCUGACCCAAUGUUGGAUCCACAUGAUGUGUUACAGCUUAUACAGCCCAAGGUGUCCGUGGAGAUGAACAAUAAUCUAUGCAAGGAUUUUACCGAUGAGGAGAUUUCUAAUGCAAUGUUCCAGAUAGGGCCCCUAAAGGUGCCGGGGCCGGAUGGGUUCCCCGCGAGAUUCUUCCAGCGGCAUUGGGCGUGAUGAAGGAUUACAUAAUUAAUGCGGUUAAAUUAUUUUUUGCCUCUGGAGUCAUGCCAGACGAGAUAAACAGCACGGUCAUUGUUUUGAUCCCCAAGAUUGACUCGCCGUCCCGACUCACUGAUUUUCGGCCUAUCAGUCUCUAUAAUGUCAUAUAUAAGGUGAUAGCCAAAUGCCUGGUCAAUAGGUUGAGGCCUAUUUUGGAUGAGUUGGUGUCCCCAGAGCAGAGCGCCUUUGUACCGGGCAGAUUAAUUACAGAUAAUGCAUUAAUCGCUUUUGAGUGUUUUCAUGCGAUCAAACAGGAGAAGGACCCGGAGCAGAGCUUUUGUGCCUAUAAACUGGACCUGUCCAAGGCUUACGAUCGGGUAGAUUGGGUUUUCUUGGAGUGAGUGAUGCAACAAAUCGGUUUCUCUAACCGAUGGGUGGAUUGGAUAAUGAGGUGUGUCACCUCGGUGAGGUAUUGUGUGAAAGUCAAUGGAGCCCUCUCGGAUUCAUUCGCACCGUCUCGUGGACUACGGCAGGGAGACCCCCUCUCACCUUUCCUUUUCCUUUUUGUUGCUGACGGUCUUGAUACUAUUCUAAAACAGGAGAUUGCAACCAACCGCCUCACUCCACUCCGGGUGUGCGCCCAAGCUCCAGGCAUCUCACACCUCCUGUUCGCGGAUGACACCUUAUUGUUCUUUCGUGCUAAUGGAGAGGAGGCUGCCCAAGUCAAAGAAGUUAUCAAUACAUAUGCUAGAGCUACGGGCCAGCUCAUAAAUCCUGCCAAGUGCUCUAUAAUGUUCAGCCCCAAAUGUUCACAAGCUAACAAGCAGGAGGUCAUGCACAACUUGGACGUGGUGAAUAUGAGCUUUGAGCAGAAAUAUCUUGGCUUUCCAACGCCAAGUGGCCGCUUUUCAAAAGGGAAACUACACAAUCUUCAGCAACACCUGACAAAGAGAAUUAUACAGUGGGGAGAAUUGAUGUCCCAAGCAGGACGUGAGGUUCUUAUUAAGGCGGUGGCGCAGGCCCUACCCACCUUCCUAAUGAGUUUGUUUAAAUUUCCUAGAAGCACCUGCGAUGAUUUGGGGCAGAUGAUUCGUAGCUACUGGUGGGGCACGUACAGAGGCAAGAGGAAAACCCACUGGAAAUCUUGGGACUCGAUGCUAAGGCCCAAAUCGGCUGGGGGUAUGGGAUUCAAGGACUUCAGACUCUUCAACCAAGCAAUGUUAGCUCGGCAAGCAUGGCGUAUUUUGGUCAACCCGGAAUGUCUUUGUACGCGCGUCUUGAAGGCAAGGUAUUUCCCUAAUGGACGAUUAUAAGAUACUGUUUUCACUAGCAACGCGUCGCAAACUUGGCAGGCCAUUGUGCAUGGGUUGGAAUUGCUGAAGAAAGGCUUAGUCUGGCGCAUCGGUAACGGGCAGUCGAUCCGAAUUUGGCGGGACUCCUGGAUACCACACCCUGUUGGUCGGCCACCAAUUACCCAACAAGGAAGGUGCUGUCUCCGCCGAGUCUCGGAGCUACUAGACGAGCAUGGUGCAUGGCGCGGAACCCUACUUCAACAGUACUUUUUGCCCGUUGAUGUUCAGGAGAUACUAAAGAUUAAAGCGUCCCCUCGGCUGGGGGCAGAUUUCCUUGCAUGGGAUGCAGAACGUACUGGUAUCUUCACCGUACUUAGCGCGUACCGGCUGGCGCUUGAGGACAAGCUUUGUCCCUCUUCAGUCGCAGCGAGCAGGGCACCGGACGGGCGACGUGCCGUCUGGGCAUUAUUAUGGAGGUGCCCUGCUCCUCCUAAGGUGCGUGUGUUUGCAUGGCGUUUGGCUACUAACUCCCUUGCCACAUGGUCUAAUAAAUUUAGUCGACACAUGGAGGUUACUGAUAUAUGCCCAUUAUGUGGUCUCGAGCGCGAGGACACUUUUCAUGUGUUUUGCAGGUGCCCUCGGACGGUGCAUUUGUGGCGGACUAUGGCGGAGGUGUGGAGUAUACCGGACAUCGAGUCAGUCCGUAACACCGGCCCAGAGUGGCUCCUGAACCUAAUUGCAGAAAGCAAUGAAGGGGACCGGCUGCGCCUGAUUAUGCUUUUGUGGAGAUGUUGGCAUGUGUGCAACAAGAUCACUCAUGACAAACCGGCGCCGCCUGUGGAGGUAUCCCGUCGCUUUUUGCAGAGCUACGUAACCUCACUGCUCGGGAUCCAGCAGUAUCCACAGGGAGAUUGGGACAAAGGGAAGAUGACCAUCCAACAAGAAGGUGCAGAACAACCUAUAUCACACGUGGGAGGUGUGCCACGAAUAGUCCACAAAUGGAGUCCCCCACCCGCCAACUGGACGAAGCUGAAUGUCGAUGGCUCCUUUUCCCAUGAUGACGGGAGGGCCGGGACGGGAAUGGUGCUCCGUGACCAGGAAGGGGCCAUUAUUUUCUCCGUGUGUCGCUCGCUAUGGUCUUGACCGGACCCUCUACAUGCCGAGCUGGCUGGGUGCAUGGAGGGCAUAGCUUUGGCCCUCCAAUGGACAGAGUUGCCGUUUAUCGCCGAGUGCGAUAGUCUGCAGGCAGUGCAACUGAUAAAUGCCUCAGGACAAGACCGCUCGCAGUAUGCCAUGGUGGUCUCGGAAGUGAAGCAUCUUGUGUUGAAAGGGAGUGUCAUGUUAUUCAUAUUUCUCGAGAUCAGAAUAAUGUAAGCCAUGCGUUGGCGAAAUUUGGAAGGACGGAGGACCGUACUGUGGUCUGGCUCCGCUCCGGCCCGGACAAUAUCCCUAGCUUGUGUAGGGAGGACCUUCUUGGCUCUUGAGUAAUACAAAUCCCUUUUACCCCGCAAAAAAAAAUUCUAACUGAUUUAACAUAAACAUUUUGGCUAAAAAAAGGUUAAUCAAUUGACAAUAUUGCAACAUAUGCAUGAGGAUCCCUCGAAAAAAAACAUAUGCAUGAGGAUAAUAUUUAUGCUCCGUUGAAACGCACGAGCAAUUAUCUAGGAUGAUGGGACUUAACAAAUUGUCAAAUUUGGAGGGAACACCAGAUGGAUUUGGAUUGGGCUGACAACAAGUGAAGUAAUAAUAAUAGAGUGGCCAAAGAGCUGAAGUUGAGGGGCUCCUGAUAGAUCCAUUUGUUGGCCCGUGGCAAUGCACGGGCGUUCUACUAGUUUUCAUUAAUAGAUCCAUUUCCCCUCAAUCUCUGGCAAAUUCUUUGGGGCGUGCUACGCGUCAGCCGGCGGAUCUUUUUAAAAGAUCCAUCAGGUUCUGAGCCUUCGAAUCUGACAUGAUCUCGCGGCCGAGCGUCUUCCUCACUUUUGUAACAGAAAUCGUGUUGUGAGAACCCUUUUGCAACAUAGGUCUUGUUGCAUAAACGUCAUCGCGUAGAACAACACUAGCACACUUGUGGGAACUGUUGUUAUGGCGGCACCAGCGGUUGUGACUGAGCUCGAGGAGGCAACAACCAUGCAUGCUUGUCCACGCCGGUGCUCCCUCGGGAGGGCGGGGUGACGGCGGACGCGGCUCCCCGUGGAUGCGGAUGCCGGUGCUUUCCCGAUACGGCGGACGCGACUUGAGGACUUGGGGCGGCUUCAAAUGGAACCUGCGUCCUGCGGGGAUGAGAGUUCGGAGAAAGAGAGGAAAAUGGCUGGGAGAAGACAACGGAGGUUUUUGAAGAUAAGGUAAGGGGCACAUGGCUGGUUGGGGCUAGUAAAAACAUAUGUGAACGUCUGCGGUAUGAUCAGAUGGGAUCCAAUGUUGUAUGGGCGGCGGAACGUUGUCCGUGAUCGGUGAAUGAUUUCUCUAAACUUUUUUACCAUUUGUUAAUUACAUUUGUCAAAAUUUUAUUGUGGAAGUGGGUACAUCUCAGUCGACUGAGACUUAACCUCAGUCAAGUGAUAUAGUACAAGGAGAAAAAGAAAAGAAAAAUGAAGAAUCCUUUUUGCAUGGAUCUCCAUGCAAGAUCAAAGGAAUAUAGCAUCGAUUGAGACAAAACAAAGUCUCAGUCGACGGAGUACUCAGCAAAACUAUUUUAUUAUCGGAAUCAAUUACUUCCGAACGACCAGUAUUUUAAGCUUUUGGGCCGAACGUGCUUUUCAUCAUUGGAUUCAGGUAUGAAUCUUAGAACAGAGGAAAUUAGCCAGGUCAGCUUUUUAUUUCGUUCGAGGAAAUUGACUACCGCCGCGAAUGCUCCCCACCACCACUCCUGUGUUUCCCCGUCCCAGCCACUCCUUACCCAUUUCUCUGCCACACAGUCGCCCCAUCUACCCCCACCAACACCGUCCCAGCCCUUUCGUUUACUCUGGCGACGGUGUUGGCGGUGAUCCCAGCGUGGUUCAGUGGCGCUAUGUGGAGAUGGAGGCUCACGCGCAUCAUGCGGUUGGUGGAUCUCGGCUGCUGCGGCCAUGUCGAUGGCGGCGGAGGCGAGGGACCCACACUUGCUGGUGUCGUGAUUCCAGUGGGCCGGAGCUGUUGGAGGUGAGGACUGGAGGUGCUCCUUUCCGCGCGUUGUCUCCGUCAGCCACCUCGACCCCUGGUGGAGGGGCGGUCUCAAGUCUCACCGACGGUUUCUCGGUGCGUGGCCCCGUGUUGAUGGCGGCAGAUAGACCGGCUGUAUGCCUGGUCGUGCUGCUAUUUUGGAGGGUAGGAGAUCAGGCUCGCGGGUGCCCGCGCCCAAUCUGAAGCCGGGAGGGAGACGCUCUUGUGUAGUUGUGUGUGCCCAUCGUCGCUGCAGCAGCUCCGCUCGUGCACGCCAGCAAGAGCUCCGCCGCCAGCUCCUGUCGCUUUGGGUCUUACAUCAUCUGCCGCAUCCCCAAACAUCAUCGACUGUGGCCCUAUCCGGUGAGCACCAACCUCUCUUUUUUGCUUGUAACUAGAUGCUGCUUUGUGGCACCACAAGAAAUAUGUCAACUUGUGACCCUUGCUAUUGGGCAUUGAAAGGUCAUUGUUUUCAUUUGCGACUUUUUUGUGACCAAAAACAGAAGGUCAAAAGCUGGCAGUCGUAAACUGAAAUUAGUGACCUUCUUUGUGAUAUGUAAAAGGUCGUUGGUUCCAUGACCAAAUUUUUGGUCACUAGCAACCUCCCCAUGCCACGUAGGCAUCCAGCGUGGCAAGCUGGUGUGACACAAGAUUCAGCCCGGUCCAAUUCGGUUUUCUACAUGGGCCUAGCCCAACAAUUCAGCCUUUUUACUGUAUAUUUUCUCUAUUAAUUUUCUCUAGCUAUAUGGGCCUAGCCCAACAAUUUGGCAUUUUUAUUUUCUAGGCAUGGCCUUUUGCGGUCCAUUUCAUUUUUAUUUUCGAGGGUUUUUUGUGGUCCAGUUUUUAGAUGGGUCCCAAUUGUCAGAUUUUUCCUGGCAGUAGAUCCACAUCGCUUUUUAAGCAGUAUAUAUAAAACAGGAAGAAGAAAAGAAUAUGAAAAUCUUCAAAUAACAACUAAAAUAGGUUUAUUACAAUAUAUUCUGUGCAGAACAGAACAUGUGAAACUCCAUACACUCGUUCACAUCACAACAACCAGUUUAACCUACAAAUAUUGCAUGCCCAGGAACUUAAAACUUCACGUACAUAACCAUACAAUAUUCCACACAAUCACAAAUAUUGUGAUUGAAAAAUAAAACACUCUGCCAAGUUAAAGCUAGCUAUUCUUGGAUACCAUGGAACAUGCUCUUCAACAUAGGAAGAAGUCAUCAAUGGUGUUCUAUCAACAACACAAGCUCCAUUCACCUACAAGAACAGAAUGGAAUAUCAAGUACUUGGAUCGUUCAAGCAGAUUACAAGCAACAUAUAUAUAUAUAUAUAUAUAUAUAUGUAGAAGUACAUCAGAAAAUAUGAUGGAGCAAUCGGACAACAAAUACAUUAAGUAAACAGCCCAACCGAUGAGUGAUGACGACAAGCAAAGAGUAUAAACCCAGGUUUGGACAUAAAUAGUGUCAACUCAAGUAGAACAUAAUAAGGCAGUAAACUCAAGCAGAACAUAAUUAAGCACGAUGAAAGGGACCAUCCAAUUAAAUUCCAUUCCCAUCUUCUUCAGUAAGG
Molecule: long non-coding RNA, 17438 nt
Filed under: Triticum aestivum (bread wheat)
Lineage: Eukaryota; Viridiplantae; Streptophyta; Magnoliopsida; Poales; Poaceae
Description: long non-coding RNA (TAES_LNC018904)
Source: RNAcentral